AUCCGGGUUGCGGACAGUGUCUGGUGGGUAGUUUGACUGGGGCGGUCUCCUCCUAAAGAGUAACGGAGGAGCACGAAGGUUGGCUAAUCCUGGUCGGACAUCAGGAGGUUAGUGCAAUGGCAUAAGCCAGCUUGACUGCGAGCGUGACGGCGCGAGCAGGUGCGAAAGCAGGUCAUAGUGAUCCGGUGGUUCUGAAUGGAAGGGCCAUCGCUCAACGGAUAAAAGGUACUCCGGGGAUAACAGGCUGAUACCGCCCAAGAGUUCAUAUCGACGGCGGUGUUUGGCACCUCGAUGUCGGCUCAUCACAUCCUGGGGCUGAAGUAGGUCCCAAGGGUAUGGCUGUUCGCCAUUUAAAGUGGUACGCGAGCUGGGUUUAGAACGUCGUGAGACAGUUCGGUCCCUAUCUGCCGUGGGUGCUGGAGAACUGAGGGGGGCUGCUCCUAGUACGAGAGGACCGGAGUGGACGCAUCACUGGUGUUCGGGUUGUCAUGCCAAUGGCACUGCCCGGUAGCUAAAUGCGGAAGAGAUAAGUGCUGAAAGCAUCUAAGCACGAAACUUGCCCCGAGAUGAGUUCUCCCUGAGACUUAGAGUCUCCUGAAGGAACGUUGAAGACGACGACGUUGAUAGGCCGGGUGUGUAAGCGCAGCGAUGCGUUGAGCUAACCGGUACUAAUGAACCGUGAGGCUUAACCUUACAACGCCGAAG
Molecule: ribosomal RNA, 705 nt
Filed under: Salmonella enterica
Lineage: Bacteria; Pseudomonadati; Pseudomonadota; Gammaproteobacteria; Enterobacterales; Enterobacteriaceae
Description: partial 23S ribosomal RNA
Rfam family: Bacterial large subunit ribosomal RNA
Source: RNAcentral